CCUACGGGCGGCAGCAGUAGGUACAGCUCAGGCAGCUCAGGCAGCUCAGGUUCCGGCGGCAGCUACAGCGGAGGCUCAUCCUCAGGCUCAUCCUCAGGCGGAUCACGGUCGUCAUCAUCCUCAUCCUCUUCAGGCGGCAGCAGGAGAUAAAAUAACAGGCAUACAGAGAAUGUUCAUGUUCCGCAAAAAGCAGGAGCAACAGGGAUUGUAUACAAAAAAACCAGGAAAUGAAAAGGAAAAUAGCACUCACAGCCACCAUCCUACUGCAGCCCCCCGUAGG
This 280-nucleotide ribosomal RNA is filed under the name uncultured bacterium. RNAcentral's name for it is "partial 16S ribosomal RNA". The record is from RNAcentral.